CAGAAGGUCAGAAGGAUCGUGAGGUCCCGAU
RNAcentral lists this non-coding RNA (31 nucleotides) under Mus musculus (house mouse). The record is from RNAcentral. Lineage: Eukaryota; Metazoa; Chordata; Mammalia; Rodentia; Muridae.